This 497-nucleotide ribosomal RNA is filed under the name uncultured bacterium. Its description in RNAcentral is "partial 16S ribosomal RNA". It matches the Rfam family "Bacterial small subunit ribosomal RNA", at positions 28 to 507 of the family's 1533-position model. The record is from RNAcentral.
GAUGAACGCUGGCGGCGUGCCUAAUACAUGCAAGUCGAGCGAACGGACGCGAAGCUUGCUUCCCUGAUGUUAGCGGCGGACGGGUGAGUAACACGUGGAUAACCUACCUCUAAGACUGGGUUAACCUCGGGACACCGGAGCUCAUACCGGAUAAUAUUUUGAACCGCAUGGUUCAAAAGUGAAAGACGGUCUUGCUGUCACUUUUAGAUGGCUCCGCGCUGCAUGAGCUAGUUGGUAAGGUAACGGUUUUCCAAGGCAACGAUGCAUAGCCGACCUGAAAGGGAGAUCGACUACACGGUAACGGAGGCAGAGCCCAGACUCCUAGGGGAGGCAACAGUAGGGAAUCUUCCGCGAGGGGCGAGAGCCUGACGGAGCAACGUCGCGGGAGUGAUGAAGCUCUUCUGAUCGGAAAAUGCUGUUAUUCGUGAGGAACAUAUGUGUAAGUAACUGUGCAGAUCUUGACGGUACCUAAGCAGAAAGCCACGGCUAACUACGUG